AGGAGGAACAGCCUCAGUGGCGGGGCAGCUCUGGAAACCUGGAUUCAGCUCCCGCAGGAACUCCGGAGCUCUCCGUCUGCAGGGCCUGGAGGCUCCGGGGCGGG
Canis lupus familiaris (dog) is the source of this 104-nucleotide non-coding RNA. Lineage: Eukaryota; Metazoa; Chordata; Mammalia; Carnivora; Canidae. The record is from Rfam.